Molecule: long non-coding RNA, 815 nt
Organism: Magnolia sinica
Lineage: Eukaryota; Viridiplantae; Streptophyta; Magnoliopsida; Magnoliales; Magnoliaceae
Exons: 2
Source: RefSeq, a predicted model, not a curated record
CAUGAUUUUUUAGUGGCUCAUCCACAAUGGGCCCAUCAGUUUGGUUGCCAACUAUUGAGCAAAUGUCCAAUUAUUUCCGAUUGAAGGCCAUUGUCCAUUUGUUCAAUCUGAACAUCCUAUGGUUGUGCCCUUUUUAGAAGCCUGUAACCUUAAUCCUUGCCAUUUUAGUAGAGCAUGUCAGUACUACCAAGUGAAAGAGAGAAGGGAAAAAUCCUAACUUACCAAAUAAAAUAGUCUCUUCAUGAAAUACAACUGGAUGGUGAGAUCGCCUUCUCACAUCCAUCCAGAAAUGAUAAAAUUAGUAUUUCUGUUUCCAUCACACCACAAACCCAUCUCCCCCACUCUUGUAUCCAAACUGCCACAGGCAAAUAUGCUAGCUUGAAACUUCCUUGUCUGCAUUUCUAUCAUUAACCUGCAUCCAAAGUAAGAUACAUGAAUCUCUCAUGGGGCAUGUAUGGGAUUUGCUUUGUUUACAACAAAAUACAUGUGUUUUACUGUCAGGGGAGUAUUCGGCCGAUGAUGCCUAGGAAUUUGUAGAGCUGCAAGAACAGAUCACUAAAGGCCAUAUUAAUGUCUGGGCUCUUCAUAAGAAAGAUUUUAAUCAAUUGUGCCUAAAUUUAGGCCUACAAGCACUUCAACCUUUUGAUGCCACUCGUGCUAGGAGUAGACCAUAUAGAGGAUUUGAUUUAUUUUUUUAAAAUUUAUUUAUUUAAAUUCAAGACCAUUUUCAAUUUAUUAUAAUAAAUAUUAUAUUUUAUUUUAUUGUGUAGUAAUAUAAAUUUUGUUUAAUAUUCAGUUUUAUUUGUAUUGCAUCA